Molecule: ribosomal RNA, 293 nt
Filed under: uncultured bacterium
Lineage: Bacteria
Description: partial 16S ribosomal RNA
Rfam family: Bacterial small subunit ribosomal RNA
Source: RNAcentral
GUGUCAGCAGCCGCGGUAAGACAUAGGUGGCGAACGUUAUCCGGAUUUAUUGGGCGUAAAGGAUGCGUAGAUGGUGGAAUAAGUUAUUGGUCAAAGUCAAGCUCAACUUGGCGGAAGCUGGUAAUACUAUUCUACUUGAGGAUAGGAGAGGUUGGCGGAAUUCUGUGUGGAGCGGUGAAAUGCGUUGAUCUACAGAGGAACACCAAAAAAGGCGAAGGCAGCCAACUAUUCUAUUCCUGACAUUGAGGCAUGAAAGCGUGGGGAGCAAACCGGAUUAGAUACCCGCGUAGUCC